GGCUGUUUACACUUGGGCCGGAUAUCACUAUGUUAUUCUUGGAGAGUACGACCGCUCGUCCAAUGCUGAACCUGUUUAGGUCAUGAGAAUUGCCAAGCAAGUCCUCGUUACCUGCAGCAAGUUGCACUGCCCCUAUUAAGCAAAGCUCAGUGCCAGCAAUACUGGGGACAAAGAAUCACAGAUGCCAUGAUUUGUGCUGGGGCAUCUGGUGUCUCCUCCUGCCAGGGUGAUUCUGGUGGUCCUCUGGUGUGUGAGAGUCGAGGUACUUGGUUCCAGGCGGGUAUUGUGUCAUGGGGCACCUCAGACUGUAACGUUCGCACUCCAGCGGUCUACUCUCGUGUCACUUACCUGCGCCAGUGGAUCGACCAGACCGUGGCAUCCAACUAGAGCUCCAACCUGAGUGUUUUCUCUUCAAAACAAUAGGCAUCUGUCAUCUUUUAAAUUUACUUUGUCUGUUUGGAGUUACUGGUCCCACUAUGAUCUCUCAGAAAAGAAAUGCUAAUAAAAGUUUUUAAAACUA
Misgurnus anguillicaudatus (oriental weatherfish) is the source of this 520-nucleotide non-coding RNA. Lineage: Eukaryota; Metazoa; Chordata; Actinopteri; Cypriniformes; Cobitidae. The record is from RefSeq and is a predicted model, not a curated record.